GACUCCGUAGCUCAGUUGGUAGAGCAAAUGACUCUUAAUCAUUGGGUCAAGGGUUCGAUUCCCUUCGGGGUCA
RNAcentral lists this transfer RNA (73 nucleotides) under Bacteroidales bacterium. Its description in RNAcentral is "tRNA-Lys". It matches the Rfam family "tRNA". From Rfam's summary of the family: Transfer RNA (tRNA) molecules are approximately 80 nucleotides in length. Their secondary structure includes four short double-helical elements and three loops (D, anti-codon, and T loops). The record is from RNAcentral. Lineage: Bacteria; Pseudomonadati; Bacteroidota; Bacteroidia; Bacteroidales.